CCUACGGGAGGCAGCAGUGGGGAAUAUUGCACAAUGGGCGCAAGCCUGAUGCAGCCAUGCCGCGUGUGUGAAGAAGGCCUUCGGGUUGUAAAGCACUUUCAGCGGGGAGGAAGGCGGUGAGGUUAAUAACCUCAUCGAUUGACGUUACCCGCAGAAGAAGCACCGGCUAACUCCGUGCCAGCAGCCGCGGUAAUACGGAGGGUGCAAGCGUUAAUCGGAAUUACUGGGCGUAAAGCGCACGCAGGCGGUCUGUCAAGUCGGAUGUGAAAUCCCCGGGCUCAACCUGGAAACUGCAUUCGAAACUGGCAGGCUAGAGUCUUGUAGAGGGGGGUAGAAUUCCAGGUGUAGCGGUGAAAUGCGUAGAGAUCUGGAGGAAUACCGGUGGCGAAGGCGGCCCCCUGGACAAAGACUGACGCUCAGGUGCGAAAGCGUGGGGAGCAAACAGGAUUAGAUACCCGGGUAGUC
Molecule: ribosomal RNA, 465 nt
Filed under: uncultured Klebsiella sp.
Lineage: Bacteria; Pseudomonadati; Pseudomonadota; Gammaproteobacteria; Enterobacterales; Enterobacteriaceae
Description: bacterial SSU rRNA
Rfam family: Bacterial small subunit ribosomal RNA
Source: RNAcentral